UUUUUCCCUCAAUUGAGAAAACUGAGUUUUCUAAACCCAUAAAUGCUUCUCGAGACUAGAACAAUAUCAUAAAAGGCAAGUAAAUACUUUGGGAACAUAAUAAAACAGUCUAGUGAAGAAUAGAGAGAGAAAUCCCUUCUGUGAGGGAGGAAAUUCCUUGAGUAGGCCUAAUUGACCCUUUUGAGUUGAUUUAUAUACUGAAACCAAAAUACACAGAAUAUGAGGCUCACAUUUGAUUGAAGAAUAGCUAAGACAUUAAAUAAAAAGUGUGUGGAACAAGAAAAAUGUCCAUAAAAGAUAAUUUGAGAUAAAUGAGGCCAAACCCGAGAGACAUGUACAUGGAAGAUAUUUUUGACAUUUUGGCUUUAUUGGGCCAUUAGUGGGACAAAUGGACUUGAAUGAAGCCCAAACCAAAACCAUGUGAUAGUUGCUUCCUUGAUGAACACGUGAAGUAUAAGUUUGCCCAAAAAGAUUAAGAAUUGAGCAAGUUAUGGAGUUUUGAAUUAUGGACAUGGGCCUAACUUUGAGUGUGGUUUGAACCUUUUGGGUGUAGUGGAC
RNAcentral lists this long non-coding RNA (558 nucleotides) under Carica papaya (papaya). Its description in RNAcentral is "long non-coding RNA (CPAP_LNC011493)". The record is from RNAcentral. Lineage: Eukaryota; Viridiplantae; Streptophyta; Magnoliopsida; Brassicales; Caricaceae.